This 661-nucleotide long non-coding RNA is filed under the name Junco hyemalis (dark-eyed junco). RNAcentral describes it as "lncRNA (ENSJHYG00000018034.1)". Lineage: Eukaryota; Metazoa; Chordata; Aves; Passeriformes; Passerellidae. The record is from RNAcentral.
GGCGGCGGUCCGCGGGUGACAUGCAGUCCCUCAUCUCUCCGGUGACCAAGGCUAUCCUGGUGGCUUUGUUCAUCUUCGCCAUCCUGCUGAUCCUCUACGUGAUUCUGUGGUACAUCUGCCGCGAUGUGGAUUGCGACCAUGGGAUCUGAGCGGCGCCGCGGGGCCAGGGCUUAGGAGCCGGGAUUCACCCCGCGGGGCCGGGAGCGGCAGCGGGAGCCCCUCCGGGCGGCAGCCGCCGCCACCGCGGCCGAGCAGGGGAAGAGAAGGGGAAGGAAAGAAAAGAAGAAAAAAAGAAAAAAAAAAAAAAAAAAAGAAAGCGAGCGAGGGACCGAGCCGAAAGAGCCCGGAGGACAACUGCGAUCAAGAAACCAACCUGAGCUUGACCUUCAGAGACCAGGGUGACCCGCCAUUUAGAUUUCUGGAUCAGUUGCCAGAGUCCUGACCCUGCCAGAGUCCCUGCGGGUGGGAUGCUGAACCUGCCUGAACUUCAGCUGCUGCCAGAGGCUGUGCCAGCCCAGCUGAGCUCACUGCAGGACCAGAGAUGAGUUAGCUGGUGGUCUGGGUUGAGACACAUGAGGCAGAAAAAGGAGGUAUUUUGAAUUUGGAAACUUGGUGGCAAAGUUUGAGAGUUUAAUAAAGAUAAGAAGCUUUUUCUCUCUCA